UGCCAGCAGCCCCGGUAAUACGCAGGCGGUUACCGUCGUUCGGAAUUACUGGGCGUAAAGCGCGCGUAGGCGGACUAUUAAGUCAGGGGUGAAAUCCCGGGGCUCAACCCCGGAACUGCCCUUGAUACUGGUAGUCUUGAGUUCGAGAGAGGUGAGUGGAAUUCCGAGUGUAGAGGUGAAAUUCGUAGAUAUUCGGAGGAACACCAGUGGCGAAGGCGGCUCACUGGCUCGAUACUGACGCUGAGGUGCGAAAGCGUGGGGAGCAAACAGGAUUAGAUA
RNAcentral lists this ribosomal RNA (279 nucleotides) under uncultured bacterium. Its description in RNAcentral is "partial 16S ribosomal RNA". It matches the Rfam family "Bacterial small subunit ribosomal RNA", at positions 506 to 784 of the family's 1533-position model. The record is from RNAcentral.